GUUCCGCCCCUGCCAUCCACCCAGGGAAGCCCCGGGUGCCCAGAUGUGACGCCACUGACUUGCGCACUGGGGGACAGAGACAUGUGAGGUUUCCAUUCUUAGCGGCGGCCUGAGUUUGGAGGAGAGAGGCGGGCCCAGGCUCUGUGAGGAGGCAAGAGACUGGGUCUCCUCUGUGGCCCAGGCUGGAGUGCAAGGGUGUCGUCAUAGUUCACUGCAGCCUCAACCUCCUGGGCUCAAGCAGUCCUCCCACCUCAGCCUCCCGAGUAGCUGGGACUAUAGGCACGCACCACCAAGCCCAGGGUGACCAGUAUGGAGCUGUGCACCCCAGGAAGCCCGAGGAGCUCUCCCACAUGCAGAGGCUGGGUGUCCGCACCGUGUCACGUGCAAGGGCACGAACUUAGAACCCAGAGCUGCGUGGAGGUCAUCCCGGUGAUUGCUGGCUACCAUCGGUCACGAGGAUCGCUGCAGGCACCGGUCACUGGCUGCCACCUGCACCUCUCUACCGUGGCUUUAAACUUUUGCCCCCCAACACCAAAUCUGUGACUCUUAUCCUGACAACAAGGGUCUGUACGACGACGGGCAAGGAAAAUUCCACUCCGAAAUGACAGCAUGAAAUGAAUGCAAGUGAACGUUUAGUAAGUGGGGAAAUCUUACCCAGUGU
Long non-coding RNA from Callithrix jacchus (white-tufted-ear marmoset), 661 nucleotides. RefSeq lists it as uncharacterized. Lineage: Eukaryota; Metazoa; Chordata; Mammalia; Primates; Cebidae. The record is from RefSeq and is a predicted model, not a curated record.